This 253-nucleotide ribosomal RNA is filed under the name uncultured bacterium. Its description in RNAcentral is "partial 16S ribosomal RNA". It matches the Rfam family "Bacterial small subunit ribosomal RNA", at positions 524 to 776 of the family's 1533-position model. The record is from RNAcentral.
UACGAAGGGGGCUAGCGUUGCUCGGAAUCACUGGGCGUAAAGCGCACGUAGGCGGAUUGCUAAGUCAGGGGUGAAAUCCUGGAGCUCAACUCCAGAACUGCCCUUGAUACUGGCGGUCUCGAGUCCGGGAGAGGUGAGUGGAACUGCGAGUGUAGAGGUGAAAUUCGUAGAUAUUCGCAAGAACACCAGUGGCGAAGGCGGGUCUCUGGGCAUCUCCUGACGCUGAGGCGCGAAAGCGUGGGGAGCAAACGGG